AUCCAUAGCAUGAAAGUACACAUGGAUAAUGCAUUCCCCUAUCUCCACCUUAACAUUCUUGAUCAUGUCUGCUGAGUUUACUCGGGAGCUAUCCACGAAAGUGAAACUAUCUUUAGAAGGUUCCAUCUUCAGUCCUAAUAGCUCAGCAGUGUCUAUGGCCAUGAUGCUGACUGCAGAUCCAGUAUCGCAUACGGCGUUUGGUAAAUGGUGGCUAUGUAUAGAGCAUGGAAUCAGGAACUUUCUAGGAUCUUGUUCCUUCUUCAGUGUCCUCUUGGGUUUACGGCUGACCUUGUUGAAUAGGAGCUCAAUGUCCUUAUCAGUCUCUCUGCUCUCUCUGAAGAAAUUACCAAGUCUAU
This 356-nucleotide long non-coding RNA is filed under the name Brassica napus (rape). RNAcentral's name for it is "long non-coding RNA (BNAP_LNC018454)". Lineage: Eukaryota; Viridiplantae; Streptophyta; Magnoliopsida; Brassicales; Brassicaceae. The record is from RNAcentral.